This 253-nucleotide ribosomal RNA is filed under the name uncultured bacterium. Its description in RNAcentral is "partial 16S ribosomal RNA". It matches the Rfam family "Bacterial small subunit ribosomal RNA", at positions 524 to 776 of the family's 1533-position model. The record is from RNAcentral.
UACGAAGGGGGCUAGCGUUGCUCGGAAUCACUGGGCGUAAAGCGCACGUAGGCGGCUUCUUAAGUCAGGGGUGAAAUCCUGGAGCUCAACUCCAGAACUGCCUUUGAUACUGAGGAGCUUGAGUCCGGGAGAGGUGAGUGGAACUCCGAGUGUAGAGGUGAAAUUCGUAGAUAUUCGGAAGAACACCAGUGGCGAAGGCGGCUCACUGGUCCGGUACUGACGCUGAUGUGCGAAAGCGUGGGGAGCAAACAGG